CAAAUGACUCUCAAAAAUGGAUAUCUCGGCUCUAGCAUCGAUGAAGAAUGUAGCAAAAUGCAAUACUUGGCGUGAAUUGCAAAAUCUCAUGAACCAUUGAGUUUUUGAACGCAAGUUACGCCCUAAGCCGUCAGGCCGAGGGCACGUGUGCCUGAGCG
RNAcentral lists this ribosomal RNA (158 nucleotides) under Haldina cordifolia. Its description in RNAcentral is "5.8S ribosomal RNA". It matches the Rfam family "5.8S ribosomal RNA". From Rfam's summary of the family: 5.8S ribosomal RNA (5.8S rRNA) is a component of the large subunit of the eukaryotic ribosome. Lineage: Eukaryota; Viridiplantae; Streptophyta; Magnoliopsida; Gentianales; Rubiaceae. The record is from RNAcentral.